GACGAACGCUGGCGGCGUGGAUUAGGCAUGCAAGGUCGAACGGUAGGAUACCUUCGGGUAUCUGAGAGUGGCGAACGGGUGAGUAACACGUAGGUGAUCUACCCUCAAGAUUGGGACAACCCAGGGAAACUUGGGCUAAUACCGGAUGAAAGCAGCAGUGAUGUUGUUUGAAAGGUGGCGUAAGCUGCCGUUUGGGGAUGAGCCUGCGCUCUAUUAGUUAGUUGGCGGGGUAAAGGCCCACCAAGGCGAUGAUAGAUAGGCGGCCUUAACGGGUGGUCGCCCACACUGGGAUUGAGAUACGGCCCAGACUCCUACGGGAGGCAGCAGUCGAGAAUAGUCUACAAUGGCCGAAAGGCUGAUAGUGCGACGCCGCGUGAACGAAGAAGCCCUUCGGGGUGUAAAGUUCUUUUAUAUGUGAGCAGUGCUUUCUAUGUGAACAGCAUGGGGAGAGAGAUAUUAGCAUAUGAAUAAGCAACGGCUAACUCCGUG
Molecule: ribosomal RNA, 489 nt
Filed under: uncultured bacterium
Lineage: Bacteria
Description: bacterial SSU rRNA
Rfam family: Bacterial small subunit ribosomal RNA
Source: RNAcentral